CCUACGGGAGGCAGCAGUGGGGAAUAUUGCACAAUGGGGGAAACCCUGAUGCAGCGAAGCCGCGUGAGUGAAGAAGUAUUUCGGUACGUAAAGCUCUAUCAGCAGGGAAGAAAAUGACGGUACCUGACUAAGAAGCCCCGGCUAACUACGUGCCAGCAGCCGCGGUAAUACGUAGGGGGCAAGCGUUAUCCGGAUUUACUGGGUGUAAAGGGAGCGUAGACGGCAGCGCAAGUCUGGAGUGAAAUCCCAUGGCUUAACCAUGGAACUGCUUUGGAAACUGUGCAGCUAGAGUGCAGGAGAGGUAAGCGGAAUUCCUAGUGUAGCGGUGAAAUGCGUAGAUAUUAGGAGGAACACCAGUGGCGAAGGCGGCUUACUGGACUGUAACUGACGUUGAGGCUCGAAAGCGUGGGGAGCAAACAGGAUUAGAUACCCGAGUAGUC
This 440-nucleotide ribosomal RNA is filed under the name uncultured bacterium. RNAcentral's name for it is "partial 16S ribosomal RNA". It matches the Rfam family "Bacterial small subunit ribosomal RNA", at positions 338 to 795 of the family's 1533-position model. The record is from RNAcentral.